This 587-nucleotide long non-coding RNA is filed under the name Astyanax mexicanus (Mexican tetra). Its description in RNAcentral is "lncRNA (ENSAMXG00005002671.1)". The record is from RNAcentral. Lineage: Eukaryota; Metazoa; Chordata; Actinopteri; Characiformes; Acestrorhamphidae.
AAAAAUUUUUGAUAAUCUGAAACAUGUAAGUAUGACAAAAAUAAAAAAGAAAAUAAAUCUGUGGGGGGAAAAUACUUUUUUGUGCCACUGUACAUGCUGCGUGUUUAACCUAUAGGACAUCACAAAUGUCUUUGUUUUCUCCAAUACUGCCUCAGAGACAGAUUGAAUAGGCUGGAUAUAUAUGUGAAAGGGGCAUAUUUUUACAUCUUUAAUAAAUUUGCUAUACAUUUUUAAUUGUAUUAAUUGUCUUUUCAUGGUGUAAGUGUCAGCAGAGGAGACCGAUCCAAAAGGAAGACAUAGCCCUGAUGCAGAUCAUCCAAAUAGUGAAACUGCAGAUGCAACUCCAGGUAGUGCAGACUACACCAAAAGAGUUCAGAGUAAAGAGCAAUCUGGAACACUGGAAGACAAGGAAGAAAACUCAGUGGUUGGAGCAACAGAAGAAAAUUCAGACCAAUAUGAACCACAACAAAAAAUUAAACAAUUAUUAAUUAAACUUAAUCAUACAGAAAAGUUUAAACAAAAACUGAAAACUGCAGAUGUUCUUAAAAUAAGUAAACCAUGCACAGAGAAUGAUGUGGUGCAAACUU